GAUCUUAUAGUCUAUUUAAAAGAUAUUAAAUUGCAAGUUUAAAGAAUAUUUUUAUAUAAGGUUU
Molecule: transfer RNA, 64 nt
Filed under: Neotrogla sp. 5 KY-2017
Lineage: Eukaryota; Metazoa; Arthropoda; Insecta; Psocodea; Prionoglarididae
Description: tRNA-Cys
Source: RNAcentral